GGCUCAACCCAGAGACUGCUUCCGAAACUGCUGUGCUAGAGUGUGGGAGAGGCGCGUGGAAUUGCAGGUGUAGCGGUGAAAUGCGUAGAUAUCUGCAGGAACACCCGUGGCGAAAGCGGCGCGCUGGACCACAACUGACGCUGAAUGACGAAAGCUAGGGGAGCAAACAGGAUUAGAUACCCUGGUAGUCCUAGCCCUAAACGAUCAGGACUUGGGGUGCCGCACGUUCGUGCGUCGUCCCGGAGCUAACGCGUUAAGUCCUGCACCUGGGGAGUACGGUCGCAAGACUGAAACUCAAAGGAAUUGACGGGGGCCCGCACAAGCGGUGGAACAUGUGGUUCAAUUCGACGCAACGCGAAGAACCUUACC
Molecule: ribosomal RNA, 369 nt
Filed under: uncultured bacterium
Lineage: Bacteria
Description: bacterial SSU rRNA
Rfam family: Bacterial small subunit ribosomal RNA
Source: RNAcentral